UACGUAGGGGGCUAGCGUUGUCCGGAAUCAUUGGGCGUAAAGCGCGUGUAGGCGGUCCGGUAAGUCCGCUGUGAAAGCCUGGAGCUCAACUUCAGAAUUGCCUUUAAGACUGCAUCGCUUGAAUCCGGGAGAGGUGAGUGGAAUUCCGAGUGUAGAGGUGAAAUUCGUAGAUAUUCGGAAGAACACCAGUGGCGAAGGCGGCUCACUGGCCCGGUACUGACGCUGAGGUGCGAAAGCGUGGGGAGCAAACAGG
RNAcentral lists this ribosomal RNA (253 nucleotides) under uncultured bacterium. RNAcentral's name for it is "partial 16S ribosomal RNA". It matches the Rfam family "Bacterial small subunit ribosomal RNA", at positions 524 to 776 of the family's 1533-position model. The record is from RNAcentral.